This is an RNA transcript of Mastomys coucha (southern multimammate mouse), 590 nucleotides long. It is a transcript of the gene named glycogenin-1 pseudogene, with no coding region annotated. The record is from RefSeq and is a predicted model, not a curated record. The transcript has a single exon. NCBI's taxonomy places the organism in Eukaryota, Metazoa, Chordata, Mammalia, Rodentia, Muridae.
UCUGCGAACCACCCUGCCACACUAUGACAGAUCAGGCUUUUGUGAUGCUGACCACAAAUGAUGCUAAUGCCAAAAGUGCACUGGUCCUGGGCUCAUCUUUGAAACAGCACAGAACUACUAGGAGGAUGGUUGUACUCACCAGCCCACAGGUUUCAGACUCCAUAAGAAAAGUUUUAGAGACUGUCUUUGAUGAAGUCAUCAUGGUAGAUGUCUUGGACAGUGGUGAUUCUGCUCAUCUCACCUUUAUGAAGAGACCUGAGUUGGGCAUCACGUUGACUAAACUCCACUGCUGGUCACUUACUCAGUAUUCCAAAUGUGUGUUCAUGGAUGCAGAUACUCUGGUCCUCUCAAAUACUGAUGAUCUGUUUGAAAGAGAAGAAUUGUCAGCAGCACCAGACCCAGGGUGACCUGACUGUUUCAACUCUGGAGUCUUUGUCUAUCAACCCUCAAUUGAAACAUACAACCAGCUGUUGCAUCUUGCUUCUGAGCAACGUAGUUUUGAUGGUGGGGACCAGGGUCUACUGAAUACAUACUUUAGUGUCUGGGCAACCACAGAUAUCACAAAACACCUGCCAUUUGUGUAUAAGUAA